CAGCAGCCACGGUAAUACGUAAGUGGCAAGCGUUGUCCGGAAUUAUUGGGCGUAAAGGGCUCGCAGGCGGUUUCUUAAGUCUGAUGUGAAAGCCCCCGGCUCAACCGGGGAGGGUCAUUGGAAACUGGGAAACUUGAGUGCAGAAGAGGAGAGUGGAAUUCCACGUGUAGCGGUGAAAUGCGUAGAGAUGUGGAGGAACACCAGUGGCGAAGGCGACUCUCUGGUCUGUAACUGACGCUGAGGAGCGAAAGCGUGGGGAGCGAACAGGAUUAGAUACCCCUGUAGUCCCUGUCUCUUAUAC
RNAcentral lists this ribosomal RNA (301 nucleotides) under uncultured bacterium. RNAcentral describes it as "partial 16S ribosomal RNA". It matches the Rfam family "Bacterial small subunit ribosomal RNA", at positions 509 to 807 of the family's 1533-position model. The record is from RNAcentral.